ACAUAUUCUUAAAAAUUUAAAUGAUAGGGGGAAAGUAAAAAAGCGGGUAUUGACAGAAGAAUUUUAUGUAAUUUAGCCAAAUUUAAACUCAGACAUUCCAAAUUAUAUAAAAUAAUUAUUGUUCUCUAAAAGUGUAGGCUAUUAUAAAACUGUGUUUUACAUAUUUUAUAAUUAACAUUGAGGAUUAUUAUUCAAAAACAAGAAAAUUGGGAAUUAAAGUGAAAUUAACACAGUAAACACUGACUAAGUGUGAGGUAUGAACUUGAAAUUAUUGGUUUUGAAACUACUCAAACCCCUCAAAAAGUGGAUGGCUUGUCCCAAAUUUGAUGCUUCUCAGUUCAGCUCAGCAAGGAUAGUUGGAAAAUAUUUUGAUUCAGCAAGAAGCAUAACUCUUUUCCCUAAAUAAUAAAAAAAGUACAACUUCUGAGAAAUUUCUAAUUUUUUUAUUUAUCUAUUAAAAAUAUCUGCUUAACGUUCGAUGUUAUUUCAAAUAUACUCCUAUAAUUAAAUUCUAUUAGCGAACUGUUGGGAAUAGCCGUUAUUUUAUGAAAUUACUUUUUUGUCAUUUUAAAUAUACUAUUCUACUGUUGCCAACUUUUCUUAUUUAUUCCUAAGUUAGGAACAAAAGAAAUAUAUCUUAAUUUUUUGUUUUUUCAAAUAUACUAUUCUACAGUCACCAACUUUUCUUAUUUACCCUUAAGUUAGGGACAAGAUAAGUAUUUUGACUUCUCUGUAACUCUUGUAGAAAUUUAAUCCGAGAUGACUUAGGCUUUGUUUGGAAUUGCGGUGAGUGCGGUGAGAAAGUACGAUGGGAAAAUAUCCUAUUUGUUUCCGUACGUAAUAUUGUGUUCCUCAUAUCGCGACGAGCUGGUUACGGUAUAUUUUCUACGGUCUCACCGGAGAACGCAGAAGUAUAUCUCUAAAUGCCUUUAUCCCAACUCUAUUUUAUCUAAUAGCGUCAGAUAGGCCUCAAUACCAAAUUAAGUCUUAACAAAUGCUAACAGCAGGGAUAUUUUGAAUAACGGAAAAAUAUACGAAAAGUAUAUUUAAAAUAAAAAAAAGUAGAAGCAUAUAAGAUAUUUUAGAAAAUUAUAAAAAAAUAGAGAUAUAUAUAAGAUACUUUAAAAGUUUUGAGAAGUAUAUUAAAUAUUAUCAAAAAAAAUAAAAAAAGCUUUU
This 1176-nucleotide long non-coding RNA is filed under the name Ananas comosus (pineapple). RNAcentral's name for it is "long non-coding RNA (ACOM_LNC031113)". The record is from RNAcentral. Lineage: Eukaryota; Viridiplantae; Streptophyta; Magnoliopsida; Poales; Bromeliaceae.